AUGGAGUCACACGCCGUUCCUAGCGAGCAGCCCGCGUACAAGCCGCUGCCAUCCACCGCCAACGAGGACGCCCAUGAGCACCAGGGCGGCGGCGUGAGGUGGCGCGCGUGCGCUGCCGUGCUGGCGGCCUCGGCCGUGGUGCUCGUCGCCGCCACCACGCUAGGAAGAGGAGCCAGGGUGGACGAGGACGCCGGCGGGUUCCCGUGGAGCAACGAGAUGCUGCAGUGGCAGCGAGCCGCGUUCCAUUUCCAGCCGGAGAAGAACUUCAUGAGCGAUCCCAACGGUCUGGUAUACUACCGUGGAUGGUACCACCUGUUCUACCAGUACAACCCGAAGGGCAUCGCCUGGGCCUUUGGCAUUUUGUGGGGCCAUGCCGCGUCCCGAGACCUCGUCCACUGGCGCCAACUCCCAUUGGCUGUGCUUCCUGACCAGUGGUAUGACAUUCAAGGUGUCUUGUCAGGCAGCAUCACUGUGCUUCCUAACGGCACGCUCAUCAUGCUCUACACUGGUGCCACCAAUGUCUCCACCGUCGAGGUCCAGUGUGUUGCCGUGCCCGAAGACCCAAACGACCCCCUCCUCCGCCGCUGGACCAAGCACCCCGCUAACCCCGUCCUCUCCUCGCCACCGUGGAUCAGCACCAACGACUUCCGAGACCCCACCUCCGCGUGGUAUGAUGGCUCUGAUCACACAUGGCGCACCGUCCUCGGGUCCAAGGAUGAUCACAAUGGUCACCAUGCCGGCAUCGCCUUCAUGUACAAGACUAAGGACUUCCUUCACUAUGAGCUCGUCCCUGGCAUCUUGCACCGCGUCGAGAACACCGGCGAGUGGGAGUGCAUCGACUUCUACCCAGUCGGUGGCGACGACAACUCAUCACAAGUGUUAUACGUGCUCAAGGCGAGCAUGGACGACGAACGACAUGACUACUACUCGCUGGGGAGGUAUGACGCGGCGGCAAACACGUGGACGCCAGUGGACCCCGAGGCCGACUUGGGGAUCGGGCUGAGGUACGACUGGGGCAAGCUUUAUGCAUCCAGCUCAUUCUAUGAUCCGGUGAAGCGGCGGCGCAUUAUGAUGGGUUAUGUCGGUGAGGUCGACUCCGUGCAGGCCGACGUCGCCAAAGGAUGGGCCUCAAUCCAGUCAGUUCCAAGGACGGUGGCUCUGGAUGACAAAACCAGGACAAACCUCCUCUUAUGGCAUGUGGAGGAGAUCGAGACCCUUCGCCUCAAUGCCACCGAACUAAGCGACAUCACCAUCGAAACUGGCUCUGUCUUCCAUGUCCCUCUCCGCCAAGCUGAUCAACUCGACAUCGAGGCCUCCUUCCGCCUUGACGCUUCUGCUAUCACUGCCCUCAAUGAGGCCGACAUCGGCUACAACUGCAGCAGCAGCGGUGGUGCUGCCUCCCGCGGUGCGCUUGGCCCCUUUGGCCUCAUCGUCCUCGCAUCCAGCGACCGUUGUGGUGAGCAGACGGCGGUGUACUUCUAUGUGUCCAGGGGCCUCGACGGGGCCCUUCAGACCAGUUUUUGCCAAGACGAGUCACGUUCUUCACGAGCCAGGGACGUGACGAAGCGGGUGGUGGGAAGCACGGUACCAGUGCUAGAUGGUGAGGCUUUGUCGAUGAGGGUGCUUGUGGACCACUCCAUUGUGCAGAGCUUUGCGAUGGGCGGGAGGUGCACAGUGACAUCACGGGUGUAUCCUAUGGAGGCGAUCUAUGAGGCGGCAGGGGUGUACCUGUUCAACAAUGCCACCAACAGCAGUGUGAUGGCGGAAAGACUUGUCGUGCACGAGAUGGACUCCGCACCCAACGAGAUCAUCACGGAUGAUAAAUAUUUGCAUUUUGAAUGA
This 1842-nucleotide ribosomal RNA is filed under the name Triticum aestivum (bread wheat). RNAcentral describes it as "partial small subunit ribosomal RNA". Lineage: Eukaryota; Viridiplantae; Streptophyta; Magnoliopsida; Poales; Poaceae. The record is from RNAcentral.